RNAcentral lists this long non-coding RNA (211 nucleotides) under Prunus persica (peach). RNAcentral's name for it is "long non-coding RNA (PPER_LNC000979)". Lineage: Eukaryota; Viridiplantae; Streptophyta; Magnoliopsida; Rosales; Rosaceae. The record is from RNAcentral.
CGGAAUCCUUCGGAAUCGGAUUUUCCAAUCCAAUUUACACCCCUAAUCACGUAGCACCCUCUAUUGCUUUGCAUCUAUUGCAAUGAACUAAAUCACACCAUGGCAAGUGAGAUUUUAUUGUUUUAGUUCAAUUUCAUGCAAUAAAAUUGCAUUGAUCCUAACCAUUGCAGAUAUAGACAUAGAUAUAAUUAUUGCUUUAUGUUUUUCUUCU